UACGUAGGGGGCUAGCGUUGUCCGGAAUCAUUGGGCGUAAAGCGCGUGUAGGCGGUCCGGUAAGUCUGCUGUGAAAGUCGGGGGGCUCAACCCUCGAAUGCCGGUGGAUACUGUCGGGCUAGAGUGCGGAAGAGGCGAGUGGAAUUCCUGGUGUAGCGGUGAAAUGCGCAGAUAUCAGGAGGAACACCUAUUGCGAAGGCAGCUCGCUGGGACGUAACUGACGCUGAGACGCGAAAGCGUGGGGAGCAAACAGG
This 254-nucleotide ribosomal RNA is filed under the name uncultured bacterium. RNAcentral's name for it is "partial 16S ribosomal RNA". It matches the Rfam family "Bacterial small subunit ribosomal RNA", at positions 524 to 776 of the family's 1533-position model. The record is from RNAcentral.